Molecule: ribosomal RNA, 161 nt
Filed under: Clostridioides difficile
Lineage: Bacteria; Bacillati; Bacillota; Clostridia; Peptostreptococcales; Peptostreptococcaceae
Description: partial 16S ribosomal RNA
Rfam family: Bacterial small subunit ribosomal RNA
Source: RNAcentral
UUAUUUGAGAGUUUGAUCCUGGCUCAGGAUGAACGCUGGCGACGUGCCUAACACAUGCAAGUUGAGCGAUUUACUUCGGUAAAGAGCGGCGGACGGGUGAGUAACGCGUGGGUAACCUACCCUGUACACACGGAUAACAUACCGAAAGGUAUGCUAAUACG